RNAcentral lists this ribosomal RNA (433 nucleotides) under uncultured bacterium. Its description in RNAcentral is "partial 16S ribosomal RNA". It matches the Rfam family "Bacterial small subunit ribosomal RNA", at positions 29 to 507 of the family's 1533-position model. The record is from RNAcentral.
AACGAACGCUGGCGGCAUGCCUAACACAUGCAAGUCGAACGAGACCUUCGGGUCUAGUGGCGCACGGGUGCGUAACGCGUGGGAACCUGCCCUUAGGUUCGGAAUAACUCCCCGAAAGGGGUGCUAAUACCGGAUAAUGUCUUCGGACCAAAGAUUUAUCGCCUUGGGAUGGGCCCGCGUUGGAUUAGCUAGUUGGUAGGGUAAAAGCCUACCAAGGCGACGAUCCAUAGCUGGUCUGAGAGGAUGAUCAGCCACACUGGGACUGAGACACGGCCCAGACUCCUACGGGAGGCAGGAGUGGGGAAUAUUGGAAAAUGGGCGAAAGGCUGAACCAGCAAUGACGGGUGAGUGAUGAAGGCCUUAGGGUUGUAAAGCUCUUUUACCCGGGAUGAUAAUGACAGUACCGGGAGAAUAAGCUCCGGCUAACUCCGUG